RNAcentral lists this ribosomal RNA (440 nucleotides) under uncultured bacterium. RNAcentral describes it as "partial 16S ribosomal RNA". It matches the Rfam family "Bacterial small subunit ribosomal RNA", at positions 338 to 795 of the family's 1533-position model. The record is from RNAcentral.
CCUACGGGAGGCUGCAGUAGGGAAUAUUGCUCAAUGGGGGAAACCCUGAAGCAGCAACGCCGCGUGGAGGAUGAAGGUUUUCGGAUUGUAAACUCCUUUUGUUAGAGAAGAUAAUGACGGUAUCUAACGAAUAAGCACCGGCUAACUCCGUGCCAGCAGCCGCGGUAAUACGGAGGGUGCAAGCGUUACUCGGAAUCACUGGGCGUAAAGAGGGCGUAGGCGGGAUAGCAAGUCAGAUGUGAAAUACUAUGGCUUAACCAUAGAACUGCAUUUGAAACUGUUAUUCUAGAGUAUGGGAGAGGUAGGUGGAAUUCUUGGUGUAGGGGUAAAAUCCGUAGAGAUCAAGAGGAAUACUCAUUGCGAAGGCGACCUGCUAGAACAUAACUGACGCUGAUGCGCGAAAGCGUGGGGAGCAAACAGGAUUAGAUACCCCAGUAGUC